RNAcentral lists this ribosomal RNA (592 nucleotides) under Staphylococcus aureus. RNAcentral describes it as "partial 23S ribosomal RNA". It matches the Rfam family "Bacterial large subunit ribosomal RNA", at positions 391 to 985 of the family's 2925-position model. The record is from RNAcentral. Lineage: Bacteria; Bacillati; Bacillota; Bacilli; Caryophanales; Staphylococcaceae.
UCUCUCUUGAGUGAAUCCUGAGUACGACGGAGCACGUGAAAUUCCGUCGGAAUCUGGGAGGACCAUCUCCUAAGGCUAAAUACUCUCUAGUGACCGAUAGUGAACCAGUACCGUGAGGGAAAGGUGAAAAGCACCCCGGAAGGGGAGUGAAAUAGAACCUGAAACCGUGUGCUUACAAGUAGUCAGAGCCCGUUAAUGGGUGAUGGCGUGCCUUUUGUAGAAUGAACCGGCGAGUUACGAUUUGAUGCAAGGUUAAGCAGUAAAUGUGGAGCCGUAGCGAAAGCGAGUCUGAAUAGGGCGUUUAGUAUUUGGUCGUAGACCCGAAACCAGGUGAUCUACCCUUGGUCAGGUUGAAGUUCAGGUAACACUGAAUGGAGGACCGAACCGACUUACGUUGAAAAGUGAGCGGAUGAACUGAGGGUAGCGGAGAAAUUCCAAUCGAACCUGGAGAUAGCUGGUUCUCUCCGAAAUAGCUUUAGGGCUAGCCUCAAGUGAUGAUUAUUGGAGGUAGAGCACUGUUUGGACGAGGGGCCCCUCUCGGGUUACCGAAUUCAGACAAACUCCGAAUGCCAAUUAAUUUAACUUGGGAGUC